RNAcentral lists this ribosomal RNA (390 nucleotides) under uncultured bacterium. RNAcentral's name for it is "bacterial SSU rRNA". It matches the Rfam family "Bacterial small subunit ribosomal RNA", at positions 29 to 420 of the family's 1533-position model. The record is from RNAcentral.
AUUGAACGCUGGCGGCAGGCCUAACACAUGCAAGUCGAGCGCGAAAGGCCUUCGGGCUGAGUAGAGCGGCGGACGGGUGAGUAACGCGUAGGAAUCUACCUGGUAGUGGGGGACGAACUUGGGGAAACUCAAGCUAAUACCGCAUACGCCCUAUGGGGGAAAGUGGGGACCUUCGGGCCUCACGCUAUCGAGAUGAGCCUGCGUAGGAUUAGCUAGUUGGUGAGGUAAAGGCUCACCAAGGCGACGAUCCUUAGCUGGUCUGAGAGGAUGAUCAGCCACACUGGGACUGAGACACGGCCCAGACUCCUACGGGAGGCAGCAGUGGGGAAUAUUGCGCAAUGGGGGCGAACCCUGACGCAGCCAGUGCCGCGUGUGUGAAGAAGGCCUCGG